Molecule: long non-coding RNA, 887 nt
Organism: Notothenia coriiceps (black rockcod)
Lineage: Eukaryota; Metazoa; Chordata; Actinopteri; Perciformes; Nototheniidae
Exons: 3
Source: RefSeq, a predicted model, not a curated record
AGGUCAACUACGAGCAGGCGGCGAAGGAAGCCAUGCUGGAGGCGGCCAGCGAAGACAAGUGCCAAUCCCACGACUCGUUUGAGUUUGAGGAGAAACGCAGCAAACGAUUAAAAUGCGAUUCAUCAGAAAAGAACGCCCCAGAAAUGUCUGCAUGUGCGGACACCAAGUACAAAUCUGUGUUUGUGAUGUCAGAGGAAAAGGACGAAUGUAUAAUUGCAACUGAGGUGUAACGAGCCACCAGUGGGCUGCCCGUUGCUCAUUUGCUCUAUGGGAGAGUUUUAAUACUCCUUCAGAUGCUGCUCUAAACCCUAGGGGGAGGUGUCCCGCCUUGAGACUGCUGCUGAUACUGAGACGUUUAACUGAUAUUCAGAGUGAGCUGGUUCUCUACUGGAAAAAAAUAAGCGCAGGCAGCGUGUGGGAUAAGAACUGGCGGGGUAUAAAUACAAAGUUUACGGUUGAAAGUAAACUGCCACUUAGCUUUCUGUUCUGCCUUUUAUCGGGGAGUAAAAAUAGUAAAAAAAUAUAAACGGACACUGUCUCGUGGCGCUAACGUGCGACGCUACGAUUUUUUUGUUUUUGCAACAUUUGCACCCAGGCCUUUUCUCUAACCCACACGUGUUGCUGAGCGCAGGAACUGCAUCAAACGGUGGAUGUUUGGCCAUACUGGCCUGUUCUUCUCGAAGCUGUUUUUGGGCUGUGCACCCAUCGCUGCACUGUGAAGACUGUAAUGUAUUGAUCGCUGUGUACACUGAAGUGCGUUUUCCUUCCCUAAGCCCUCCAAAACCAUUUAUGACAUAGUAUUGUUCAACUCUUUUCAGUUUCUUUUCGGGACAUGAAAACUUUUGUCUUAAUUAAAUAAAUAAAAUGUUGCUUUUUGAUACAGAUUU